GUCCUUACAAAGAAGAUCCUAGCCUUUCCUGAAAACAUUUCUAUAGAAUAAACAGGUAAUAAUUAAAAGAGUGAAAGUCCUGGAAUUAAGGGCAGUUAGGGAAACCUUCUUGUAGAAGGCAGAACUUUAGUUGGGACUUAAAGGAAACCAUAGAGAUCAGCAGAUAGAACAUUCUAGGUAUGGGGGACAACCAGAGAAAAGACCUGGAGCAGAGAAAUGGAGUGUCUUGCUCUUGGAGCAAGAAAGAAGCCAAUGUCACUGGAUCAAGGAGUACCUGCUGGGAGUAUGGAUACCAUGAAGGUUGAUAUCUGUCCUCAUCUAUAAGACUUAGAAGAGCACUAUAUACAGAGCAGCAGUUUUUAUAAAGUUUCCCCCAGAAGGUCACUCUGUAGGAGUCUGAGAUCAAGUCCACUGAUUGCUUCUGAUAAUCUACUCUUGGAAGAGGACUGUCCAGCAGUCUCCCCUGGGAGCUAGCCUCCCCACCACCUAAGAUACAGAAAAAGCAUGGAUGCAUUACGACUUUUGAAAUGAAGAAAUUAAAAAAUGUCCUUCCACCCAUCAGCCAGAGCUUUGAAAUCU
This is a non-coding RNA of Monodelphis domestica (gray short-tailed opossum), 579 nucleotides long. The record is from RefSeq and is a predicted model, not a curated record. NCBI's taxonomy places the organism in Eukaryota, Metazoa, Chordata, Mammalia, Didelphimorphia, Didelphidae.